Molecule: long non-coding RNA, 2538 nt
Organism: Lagopus muta (rock ptarmigan)
Lineage: Eukaryota; Metazoa; Chordata; Aves; Galliformes; Phasianidae
Exons: 3
Source: RefSeq, a predicted model, not a curated record
UCCUGCUGGAGUUUUGUGAGUGAGCCCAGGAUAGGGGCAAUAAUAGGACAAAAAAUUGAAUCGUGUCACUCAAUGAGACCCUACAGGAAUGGAGUAGGAUGAGCUUGAUUGUGGUGGAGAGGGAAAUAUCUACCGGUUAAAAGACAAGCAGACACAGACACCAGACAAAAUUUAGCAAGAAGAUGAAAGAACUACAACUGAGAGUAUUACAGGUGGGAUCUCAGAAGAUCAAAGUAGAGGCGGAGAAUCACCUCCUGUUAGCCUCCUAGUCAUGUUUCUUGUGAUGCAGCUCAGGAUAUGACUGGCUUUUUGGGCUGCCAGCACUCACAUUGAGUUUUUCAUCAAAGAAAACCUCUGAAGUCCUUCUUCUCAGGGCUGCUUUUCAUCUGUUCUCCACUGCAGUUGUACUUUGGAGUGCCCCAGUCAAGAUACAGGACCUUGUACUUGGCCUUGUUGAAUUAUGAGUUUCAUACAGGUACACCUCUCAAGAUUGCCAAGUCCUCUGUGUGGCACUUCUCCCUUCCCGUAUGACAAUUGCAAUAUGCAGCUUGGGAAUCAUCAACAAACUUGCUGAAGAUGCAUUCAAUCUUACAGUCCAUGUCACUAAUAAAGAUGUUAAAUAGCACAAAUCCAUCUAUCAACCCCUAAAGCAUGCCAUUCAAUUACUGAAAAGGAGAGGGACUUGAGAAAUAAAACAAAACAAUUCUCUCAGACUUAUAUGAAACAUUAAAAGUAAUACAGCAAUAAAAUAAAGCAAUAUUAUGUUUUUUACACAGUGGCAAAUUUAAGUUCCUAAUAGUCUAGUGAGAAAGAAAUCAAGUAUUAAAAGUUGCAUUGCAUCUCUAUAAAACCUAGCUAUUAUUUGUAAGAUUAAGUACUAUGAUAACAGAAGUUCCCAGUUCAGCUCGGAGAAAAAACCUUGCACAAAUGUAAUAUGUUGUCAAUAAAAAUUUAGAAGAAGGUAUAAAUCCCUUCAUAUCCAAUUUCUCUCAUCCUUUUCAGUGAAAUCUUUCCUAGAUGAAUCUCCCCAGAUUUAACAGGAUUGUUUAGGACAAAAGAAAGGAUAGCCACUUCUGCUUUACAAAUACUGAAAAAAAAAGUUCAAGUAUCUCAGCUUUUCAAUUUCUCUCACUUCCCUUCUUAUCUUUAAAUGAAAGCAAGGUUGUCGGAAAGUUAGAUCAUGGCACUACUGUGAAGAAUAUGAUUAGUCACAACAGGUUUUUAAGUCCUACACAGACGUCUGUACACUGACAUUGGUAAGCUAAAAAUACCUCUUCCCAGGACUCCCUGAGUCCCUAGGUUUUUUCAGCAAAUCAUACAUAACUCAGUGAGAAAAAAGACACCUGGUAUCAUAACAUAUUAUCCCCAAAAUAGUUGCUAAGUAGAUAACUCAUUUUAUCAUUUGACAUUAUAUAUUGAACUUUACAUUAAUAUACAUUCUUUGAAAAUAGAUUCAACUUCUAAAAAGACAUCUAAUAGGUGAAAGCAGAAGCUGAUAAGGGAGCAAGAUUUCCUAAAUAAGAGCUAAAAGUACUUUUAAAUUUCAACAUUGUGAUUUAUCCUUUUUAUACAAGGUAAGUGAAAGUGAAAAGGAUCAGUAUGCAGAGAUUUUUUUACAUGAUUUUACAGGCAGUGAUAGAGAGAGCUGUAAGUAAUUUUAUAACCACUUGAGAAUUGAUAGAAAAAGUUAGCUUCAGCUAUUUCAGACCAUACAAAACAUUUUAACUUAAGUUAAAAGUCUUCAAGGUAAAUGAGUUUUGCUUUUUCAAAUGUUAAUAUUGUGUUGACUUUCUAAUUCUUACUUUUAAAAAACUAAUUUAUAAAUAUUUGUAAAAUGUGAGGUAAAAUUUGAAUGAAAUUUUUGCUUCACAAGCUGAAUUUAUUUUUAAGAGGUUGUUAUACAUAAUUUGCUUUCCCUUGAAACGUAACCUCAUCAGCUUUUGUUGUUGUUAAUAUUAGUACUCAGAGAAAUAAUUAGAAGCUAUUUUAUAUUUAAAUCCUGUUUACACUAAGUGCCUCUGUAAAGACAUUCUAAGAUGGAGUAGUUGAUGCACCUAAUUUGUUCAAAGUUUGUAAUGUUCAGAGGAAUGCUAUAGUUACAGAGGUUACAUUCACUACACAACUUGCUAAAGAUUGAUUAAACAAUGUCAAAUAACUCUGGCAUGUUUAUGUAGCUAACAUUCUGUUUGAGUAUGCGUCUGAGAGAUCUAGUAGUUAUCAAGUUCCAUCUUUAAGCAUUUGCCCCUAAUACAACUCCUUUCUGUUCAGGAUAAGGAUGAUUUUAUUUUUUGCUUGAUGAUGAAGCUUGACACAACAUAAUACUUUUUUUUUCCCUGCUAAGUUUCUCUGAACCAAAAUGGAUAGGAAAAGCAUGAUACUUCAUGGUAGACAAAAAUAUAUAAAGUUGCUGUGAAGUUGCAUGCAGGGCCAAACUACUAAAACCUAUUGAAGAAGGUUGGUUGUUUUUUUUGUUUGUUUUUAUUUUUUUGAGGUUUCUUUCCUCCUUAUUCUAGCAUAUAAAACUAGGAGCAUCAAAAA